UGAGCGAUGUAUCGGAACGUGCCUAGUAGCGGGGGAUAACUACGCGAAAGCGUGGCUAAUACCGCAUACGCCCUACGGGGGAAAGCAGGGGAUCGCAAGACCUUGCACUAUUAGAGCGGCCGAUAUCGGAUUAGCUAGUUGGUGGGGUAAUGGCUCACCAAGGCGACGAUCCGUAGCUGGUUUGAGAGGACGACCAGCCACACUGGGACUGAGACACGGCCCAGACUCCUACGGGAGGCAGCAGUGGGGAAUUUUGGACAAUGGGGGAAACCCUGAUCCAGCCAUCCCGCGUGUGCGAUGAAGGCCUUCGGGUUGUAAAGCACUUUUGGCAGGAAAGAAACGUCAUGGGUUAAUACCCCGUGAAACUGACGGUACCUGCAGAAUAAGCACCGGCUAACUACGUGCCAGCAGCCGC
This 415-nucleotide ribosomal RNA is filed under the name uncultured Achromobacter sp. Its description in RNAcentral is "bacterial SSU rRNA". It matches the Rfam family "Bacterial small subunit ribosomal RNA", at positions 107 to 518 of the family's 1533-position model. Lineage: Bacteria; Pseudomonadati; Pseudomonadota; Betaproteobacteria; Burkholderiales; Alcaligenaceae. The record is from RNAcentral.